CAGGAACUAGUGGUGAUAAAUGUGG
Molecule: non-coding RNA, 25 nt
Filed under: Cricetulus griseus (Chinese hamster)
Lineage: Eukaryota; Metazoa; Chordata; Mammalia; Rodentia; Cricetidae
Source: RNAcentral